Molecule: long non-coding RNA, 7382 nt
Organism: Esox lucius (northern pike)
Lineage: Eukaryota; Metazoa; Chordata; Actinopteri; Esociformes; Esocidae
Source: Ensembl
CUGAUAAUGGUGGCCACGGUGAACCUACUCAGGUUUGGACGGACUCUUAGUCCUGCUUCAGCCAUUGUCAUGCCAUGGACAAUGACAUGGUCAAUGACUGUUGCUCGCAUCUCGUCCGUAAUGAUGGUGUGAGGUUGUCGUGCUCUCCCUCCUGGACCUUCUCCUCUCCCUUGUUGGCCUCCUCCUCUCCCUUGUUGGCCUGGCAAUUUCUAAAUUAUGAAACACGACCAAGACUUGCUUCAAGUUAGAAUCCACUGGCCAAUGUUAAAUGUAUUGUCUUUGUGUAUGUCCGUUUAAAUGUUGUGUUUGUCCAAAUGUUGCAAACUGCCUGCAUAACAAAACUAACUACUAACUGCAAACCUGCUUAUUUGUGCUAUUUGUUCUGUAUGUCUGAAUGUUUGAUGAUUUAAAAGUUAAUGACAUCAAUGAUAAAAAUAGAGAAAGAAAAUGUGUGCUACAUUCAUGAUGACAUUUGUAAAACAGUUGUUCCCAGUUUAGGCUAAAUAUUCUCUACGGUCUCUAUAAGAAAAACAAAUGAAUAAAUAAAAUGGUUAUGGUAGGCUAAAUUGACAGUAAGCUGGAUUUUUUUGUAUGUGUUUACAUAUCUAGACAUGCACACCCAAUGUUAAACCCAACGUCCUCACAAAGGCUUUAAGGUUCGAUUAUUUGGGGACAUGACAUAAAAUAUACUUAGAUCUUGGAGUUGUAGUAAAAAUGGGGGAGAAGAACUUUGUUAACUAAAAUAUAGAAAAAUGAGGUGGAGUAGGAAUUACAUGACUAUGAUAAACUGAAGCACUUGUAUAAAUGUAUAAAGCAUGAUAAGGUCACUCAUUUAGCAGUUUCUAAUAUUUUAAUUGGGAAGCUAGUCAGGAGACUGUUGUUUUGUCUUUUAUUUUGUUCCUAAAUUACCCAGUCUGGUUCAGAAAGUGUUGUUGUUUAUUUGGUUGGGAGCCUAUCCUAUAGAAGUCACAUGUUUGAAUCAUGAACUAUAGUUAAAUGACCAAAGGGAUAAUUCAAUAAAAAAAAAUUCUCUCAAAGUAAAAAAAAACCAGUAACAAUUAGUUAACAGUAACGUCAUCAGCUAUAGCUAGAUAACUAGCAAUACAAACGACGGACACAUUUUUAAAGGGAAAUAUUUAGCAAACGUUACGCUCGCCCGUAUACAGGUAGGAAUGUUUCGCGGCAGACUGAAACAAUUAUACAUCCUCUGAUUGCAUACAAAGUCCUUGGUUUUUUCUGUUGACGGUGUUUACAACGCGUUUUUUCGCUUCACACUCAAGGCUUUCAAUACUCCAAUAAUCUAUGCAUCUUUCAUUGCCGCUAUAUCAUAACUGCCAUGAUUGUCAUUUUCUUGUAAAUGUAAUCCGUGGACAGUUGUUUCAUACAAGAGGAGCUAGCGCUUUCUUUCCACAAUUGGCACUGCAAUGAAAUGCCUCAAUUUUGCCUGUAAGUUUUGAACAGUAUCAAAGUCUGGGAUUUCCUCAUCGUCGUCAUCAUUCAUCUUCUGAGUCAUGGCAUCACAGUACUCCAGAAAGUAAUAUCUCACAACCUUGUUGAUAAAACCAGCAAAAUUCAGGGCAGCGAUGUGACUCGCAGCUGUAGCAAUGGGAUCACAGUUGCCCAUUUUUGAAAAUCCCAGGAUCACAACGAUUUAUUGACCAUGCAGUCGUGUUAUUACGGUUGUAACAUGAUAGACCAAUCAGAACUCAGUAUGUCUGCAUGUCCAGCCCCUUCAUUAUCUCAGCCAAUGGAAGGAAAAGCCAUGUAUUUUCCACAGGUUAAACAAGGGUUUUAGUUAAAUGUAUUCACAUUUACAAAUCACAUACUAGUUUGUUGUUAAGUCACAUUAAAGUUCACAUUUUCAAGAAGGCAUUACUGCAAAAAAGACAAAACAUUUCUUACAGACGGCUGUCCUGAAAAGUAGUGACAUAAGCCCAGUUAUUCGAAUUCUGUCACUGACUUAACAGUCUCUGAUGCUACUGAUGCGAUAUGGCAUUGUACAUCUUUUAUGUAAAUACUUUCUAUCAUUGCUGCUUUACAAAUAUAAUUUAGGAGUUUUUAAAUUGUUCAGUAAUGCAGUAAAUGAGUGUCAACUUUCAACUAUACAACUAUACAGAUGAUAGUAAAGAUUUUAUACUUAUGGAAAUAACACUUUUCUUUUGUCAGUAUGACAUGUCCUGAAGAUAGAUUAAACAUUUGUUGUCAAUUUUGUGUAAUUUGAUCAAAAUAUCAGUCCUGGUGGAGGCUAGAAUACCAGUAAAAAUCUUUUUUUUUGUUUGUCAAUGGCAAAACUCCAAAUUAAACAAAUUGUGAUUUUAUGUUGUAACACAAAAACAAUGGUUUCUGGAAAAAGUCCAAUGGGUUAAAUACUUUUGAGAGCCCCCAUAUUCAAUUACGGGAAAUGGAAAAACCAACAACUCAAAGGCACAUUGGUCCGCACAUCAAAUUAAUUCACUCUUUAUUUUUCACAUGCACUAAAGACUACUGGUAUAAACCUUAGAGGUAAAUAUUUACACACCAUACAACGCAGCUUGAAAACAACCCUGAGAAUACAAACAAUGAACACAAUAUCAUAAAGGCCAUACACCGAAACACAAGAAAUGCCAAUAGCUACAACACAAACUACAUAAAAUAGUAUAAGUGAUAAUAGUGUGUAGUAAAUCAGUAAUAAGCAGGUCAUAUUUUAACAUAUUUAACAUUGUUUAGACAAAAGGAAAUCAGACAUGUACAAAACCCCUGAGAUGAGGUGGGACCUCAAUUAAGCCCUUAUCUUUAAGAACAUUUUGUGAAGGUGCUGUAUUUGGCCCAGAGUUAAAUUGUAAAUGUGGACAGUAGCAAGAAAUUAGAUCUGUGAACCUGUUAUGACUUUUUAGACAAUACAUUCUUACUUUCCGUAUCCAUUAAUUUGCUUACAGAUUGAUUUCUAUCAAAAUGUUGUUAACUUGUAAGUAGCGAGUCACAAAUAUAUACUGAGAGUCACAAAUAUAUAAUUAAACUGUCAAAUAAUAAUCACAAUCUAAAAAUAUGUGCAUACAGUUUCACAAACGUUAAAAUCCAAAAACAAAGGAUGAUUAUCAAACAAAUGUAAGACCCUUAUUUAUGUUCAAAAGAUUUGUGAAUGUCACAGCAUUUGUCAUCAGCAUUUUACAGAUUUGUGACUUGUAUUACAUUUGUGAGUGGCUUUACAUAUUUGUGAGUCGCAUUUUAUAGAUCAGAUACACACAGAAUUCAGAUUAGGACCUCUUACUUCUGGGUAUGCUUAGUCUCCAGAUGUUAAAAAAAAUUAUAAUUCAAAAUGACAAACCACAUAUUUUCUUUUAUAAUGAAAGUUUUUGGUAAUAAUUAUAUUUCACACUGGGCCAGUUGGUAUUUAAUAAUCUUUCUGACUGAAUAAAAAAUCAUCAAAAUUAACUAUAAAUCUGAAACAACAGUAUUUCAUCCCUAUUUUUGAAAGUAAAAUCCGCUCAGUGGUGAAAGUCCUAUUAACAUUUCAAGUACCAAAAGUACUAUGCAAAUUUUUAUCAUUAUAAUGUAAUAUAUUUUUUUAGGAUAUUAUGCUAGCAGAGCUAACUCAGAUUUUCUUUUUCAAAAUAAAAGGCAUAGUUGAAAUAUAUAAGGCAAUAUAAUUAACAAUCUAGUCUGUACAUUUUAUGUUUAAUGUCGGUUCCAAUUUUUUUAUUGUCUGUUCUUUUUCACAGACUAGAUUGUUAUCUAAAUUGCCUUAUAUUUUUCAAUAAUGGCUUUUAUUAUGAUGAAGAAAAUCUGAGUGCUGCUAGCAUAAUAUCCUGCUGCUAAAAUAGCGCUAAUGAAGCCUUGAAUGGCCAUCACUAGUUUUAUGUACAGUAUGCCUUUUUAACAAAUUUACAUUAUGGCUUAUUUUACAAUCCCAACAAUAUGUACUCUUGAGCUUUUGGCAGCUAUCUAACUCCAUACUUAAGAUCAAUGUAAACAUUGGGGAAUAAAAUGCUUACACAAACUGUAAUAAUGUACUAUUUUAAUGGUAACCAUUCAAUUCUCACUUCUUUAGUUGGGCGUGUGUGUGAGAUGAAUUUACCAAACUGUGAGAUUACUUUAACAAUUAACAACAAAACUGCCUGUCUCAACUAAUGAUGCAUGUUCUCUUGUGAUAUUCACUGCCUUAGAUGGGAAAAAGCGGUUAACAAUUUAACUGUUGUGUUAAGUGUAUCAACUCAGUGUUUUUUUUUUUUACAUAUGGUACCAUACUGAAUGUUUUCAUAAUCUGUGGUAUUUUCAUAGAUUGACUCAUCUUCAGGGUAGAAGGGGUGUUGGGGCUUACAGUUGGGAUGUUUUCUUUCCACUUCUACAUUCACUUCUGUAUUUACAUAAAUAUCCUACGGAGAACAACAAGGAAAGGAAAGUGACAUGGUCACACAUUUUAAAACAUUUAGCAGGUUUAUAUUUAGCAGCGUAGCACAGUAGUGAGUGCAUAGUUUAUUUACAGUGCAGUCUGUGAACAUCUAUUAUAUUGGGUCUGUAUUGUAUAGUCAGGGUAAAUGAACCCCAGGAUUUUUACUCUUUUCUGGGGGGGGGGGGUUCAAAUUAAAUAUUUUUUUUAUACCCACAUCUUAGGGCACUUAAAACAUUAUGACCACCUGCCUAAUAAGCUGUUGAUCCUCCACGUGAUGCCAAAAUGCUUGUUGACCUACCCGGGCAUGGAUUCCUGAAGGAGUCCUGUGCACAUGGUAUCUGGCACAAAUAUAUUAGCAGCAGAUCCUGUAAGUCUCAAUCUGGGGAAGAUCUGGGGAAUUUGGAGGCCAGGGCAAAAAAUUCAACUCAUCAUGUUCCUCAAACCAUUCCUGAACAAUGUGUGCAGUGUAGCAGGGCGCAUUAUCCUGCUGAAAGAGGCCACUGCCAUAAGGGAAUACCAUUGAUCCCCAAAUCCUUGGCUACCAGUCAAACUGUUUUUGUGGUCAGUUCAUUAGCUAGAACUCUCCUGCGACUGCCGACCAUAGAAGCAUCAAACUUAGUCAAGAAAAUUGAAGAGGUGUUUUCUGGGCUGGGCAAACUGGAGACCAAGAUCAAGUUGAAUGCAUGAUGCCGUUCCAAAUGCACUGACAAUACUGAGAAGGGUCCCUAUACCACACUGAGAAGGGUCCCUAUACCACACUGAGAAGGGUCCCUAUACCAUACUGAGAAGGGUCCUUAUACCAUACUGAGAAGGGUCCCUAUACCACACUGAGAAGGGUCCCCAUACCACACAGAUAAGGGUCUCCAUACCACACAGGGAUGGGUCCCCAUACCACACCGAGAAGGGUCCCCAUACCACACCGAGAAGGGUCCCCAUACCACACCGAGAAGGGUCCCUAUACCACACGGAGAAGGGUCCCCAUACCACACAGAUAAGGGUCUCCAUACCACACAGGGAUGGGUCCCCAUACCACACCGAGAAGGGUCCCCAUACCACACCGAGAAGGGUCCCCAUACCACACUGAGAAGGGUCCCUAUACCACACAGAGAAGGGUUCCUAUACCAUAUUGAGAAGGGUCCCUAUACCAUACUGAGAAGGGUCCCCAUACCACACAGAUAAGGGUCUCCAUACCACACAGGGAUGGGUCCUCAUACCACACCGAGAAGGGUCCCCAUACCACACCGAGAAGGGUCCCUAUACCACACUGAGAAGGGUCCCCAUACCACACAGAUAAGGGUCUCCAUACCACACAGGGAUGGGUCCCCAUACCACACCGAGAAGGGUCCCCAUACCACACCGAGAAGGGUCCCCAUACCACACCGAGAAGGGUCCCCAUACCACACCGAGAAGGGUCCCUAUACCACACCGAGAAGGGUCCCUAUACCACACCGAGAAGGGUCCCUAUACCACACCGAGAAGGGUCCCUAUACCACACUGAGAAGGGCCCCUAUACCAUUGAUGGAAAAAGUAAAAGAGGGACUGAAACAAAUGGGUCACAUUGGUGUCAUCACCUGUUGACAAAGCUACAGAGUGGUGUGCAGGCAUGGUAGUGGCACCUAAGGCAGAUGGCAAAAUCAGGGUUUGUGUAGACUUAACCAACCUUAACAAAGUAGUGUGCAGAGAGCGCCACAUCCUGCCAUCAGUGGAACCAUCCUUAGUUUAGCUCAGCGGAUGUAAGGUUUUCACCAAGCUAGAUGCUAGUUCAGGUUUCUGCCAGGUGCCACCAGCACCGGAAAGUUGAAAACUUUCCACAUUUGUGACAGCAUUUGGCAAAUUUGGUUUAAAGGUAUUGCCAUUUGAUAGCAUCAGGACCAGAGCAUUUUCAAAUGUGAAUGUCACAACUACUAAACAGACUCGAGGAGGUCAUCUGUCAUACCGAUGAUGUAUAGAUCUGUGGGGAGGUCAAAUACAGCUCCAGAAAAAAUAAAGAGACCACUGCACCUUUUUUUUUGCUUUCCAAAAAAGUAGAAAAGGAAAGUUUUGAGUGAGGAACAGAAGCAUUCAAUUUGCAGUGGUCUCAAACAAAGAGCCCAGGUCAACGCAUCUAAAACACUACAGCAGGGGCUCAAGCCACUGUGUUAAAAACUGCCAGCACACCUUGACCCUACAUCUUUGAGCCUGACACAGGGGGCAAACCCGAAGGACAAGUGCUCAUCUUAAUGUGCUCCCAGAACAAGUGCAAACCGGACACGCACCUCAGGUGACCGCACAGCAGGGUGGAGCCCAGUGGGAGCACACUGAUGCUGAGAGAACACUGGAACAGACAGCACCUGAAAGGAGGAGCCAGCCAUCAAGGGCUGUCAAACAACCAGGGCGGUUGAAAGGCAAUGCUCCUUGAGUCAUUUGGUUACUCAAACCCAACAUGUUUUGUAAGUUAUUGAUAGUAAGCUGAGUAAUUGGCUUGAAUUGCUCUUCAUCCACUCAAGUUAUUUGUGGAUACAUUGGUGUUCAGAGAAACUGUAAAUGCACAUAUGAAGAGGGAAGCUUUGAUGUGCAGGUUUGUGAUGGUUAUGGGGAUCUAUGCACAGAAAGGGAGAUGUAUUAAUGUGCAUCGCUAGGUUUGUCCUACGACCAGCCCCGUAGUUCCUUGAGGGGUCAGAAGAAGGGAGUUGGAAUCAAAAGGAAAAAGGCUAACCGGCUACGUGUCUCCGUCUCAUUCCUUCCAUAAACAGAAAUAACACACCCUUGUUUGGAGAUGGUCAACAUUAUUCGCUUCACCUGUGAGUGGUCAUAAUGUUUUGGCUCAUCAGGGUAUAGUGAGGAGACUGAAUAUAGGGACUGUGGUUAUUGUGUCAGUCUCUGAACCCGAUAGUUAUCAGAAUGAAGACAUUGCAGUAGACAGGUAAAGUGGACAGAGUGAAGAAAAGGCUCUCACCUCAAAUACUCCUGUUUUUCUCUGUAAUUUUGCAGAUGCUGUGUGUCAUACACAUUCAAGAGAGGAAACAAGAAAUUG